AGUGAUAAGCAAGGGAAAUGAGACCAGCUACCUGGAGAGUACCAGCUGCAUGCUGACCCUGAAGGUGAAUCGCUUUCACCCUGACCAUAAAGAAAAGCUAUGGAUCAGAAAGAGCAACCUAACCAUUCAAAUAAAGCAGUACAAGUACUCAAUUGCUGAAGAUGAUGAGUCUUCCAAGUCAUAUGUAAUGCAGCAAAUUUGGUUUCUGUUGUUCUGUGUACUAUGGUUAAUUUCUUGUACUCCAUGUUGGACUAUCCAAAGACUAGUAUUUGUUUUUUGGCACAUUUGUGUUGACUCUUCUUGUAUGCUACAACUUGGUUAUGUAUCAGUUUGAAUCUUUAAAUAAAAUAUUUGCUUUUAUGGUUGUCACAA
This is a long non-coding RNA of Asparagus officinalis (garden asparagus), 372 nucleotides long. RefSeq lists it as uncharacterized. The transcript is spliced from 3 exons. The record is from RefSeq and is a predicted model, not a curated record. NCBI's taxonomy places the organism in Eukaryota, Viridiplantae, Streptophyta, Magnoliopsida, Asparagales, Asparagaceae.